CAAAUGAAUUGACGGGACCGCACAAGCGGUGGAUGAUGUGGAUUAAUUCGAUGCAACGCGAAAACCUUACCCACCUUUGACAUGUACGGAAUCCUUUAGAGAUAGAGGAGUGCUCGAAAGAGAGCCGUAACACAGGUGCUGCAUGGCUGUCGUCAGCUCGUGUCGUGAGAUGUUGGGUUAAGUCCCGCAACGAGCGCAACCCUUGUCAUUAGUUGCUACGAAAGGGCACUCUAAUGAGACUGCCGGUGACAAACCGGAGGAAGGUGGGGAUGACGUCAAGUCCUCAUGGCCCUUAUAGGUGGGGCUACACACGUCAUACAAUGGCUGGUACAAAGGGUUGCCAACCCGCGAGGGGGAGCCAAUCCCAUAAAGCCAGUCGUAGUCCGGAUCGCAGUCUGCAACUCGACUGCGUGAAGUCGGAAUCGCUAGUAAUCGUGGAUCAGCAUGUCACGGUGAAUACGUUCCCGGGUCUU
Molecule: ribosomal RNA, 473 nt
Filed under: uncultured Comamonas sp.
Lineage: Bacteria; Pseudomonadati; Pseudomonadota; Betaproteobacteria; Burkholderiales; Comamonadaceae
Description: bacterial SSU rRNA
Rfam family: Bacterial small subunit ribosomal RNA
Source: RNAcentral